Molecule: small nucleolar RNA, 128 nt
Filed under: Microcebus murinus (gray mouse lemur)
Lineage: Eukaryota; Metazoa; Chordata; Mammalia; Primates; Cheirogaleidae
Source: RNAcentral
GUUGAAGUCUACCCCAGUGGGGCUCUUACUGUGGCCAAAGAUCACUAGAAACUUCUCAUAGCGUAGCUCUGUGAUUUUGCCUAACUCACAAGACUGCUAAAUCUGUGGGAAGAAACUAUAAGACAGUU